ACGGGGGGGGCAAGCGUUGUUCGGAAUUACUGGGCGUAAAGGGCGCGUAGGCGGCCUGCUAAGUCGGACGUGAAAUCCCACGGCUCAACCGUGGAACUGCAUCCGAUACUGGUGGGCUUGAAUCCGGGAGAGGGAUGUGGAAUUCCAGGUGUAGCGGUGAAAUGCGUAGAUAUCUGGAGGAACACCGGUGGCGAAGGCGGCAUCCUGGACCGGCAUUGACGCUGAGGCGCGAAAGCCAGGGUAGCAAACGGGA
Molecule: ribosomal RNA, 253 nt
Filed under: uncultured prokaryote
Description: partial 16S ribosomal RNA
Rfam family: Bacterial small subunit ribosomal RNA
Source: RNAcentral